UUUGGUAGCAAUGAUGACUUAUCUUUUUUCCCCAGCAGAUCGGCAAUGUUGACAUUUUUUAAAGCAAAAAAUAAGCCAAAUGAUCUGAGCAACCAUA
This is a small nucleolar RNA of Carassius auratus (goldfish), 97 nucleotides long. Ensembl annotates it as small nucleolar SNORD12/SNORD106. The record is from Ensembl. Lineage: Eukaryota; Metazoa; Chordata; Actinopteri; Cypriniformes; Cyprinidae.